GACAGAGGGUGCUAGCGUUGUUCGGAAUGACUGGGCGUAAAGGGCGCGUAGGCGGGAAUAUUAGUCAAGCGUGAAAGCCCCAGGCUUAACCUGGGAACAGCGCAUGAAACGGUAUACCUAGAGGACGAGAGAGGGAAGCGGAAUUCCUAGUGUAGAGGUGAAAUUCGUAGAUAUUAGGAGGAACACCAGGGGCGAAGGCGGCUUUCUGGCUCGUAACUGACGCUGAGGCGCGAAAGCGUGGGGAGCAAACAGG
This 253-nucleotide ribosomal RNA is filed under the name uncultured bacterium. RNAcentral describes it as "partial 16S ribosomal RNA". It matches the Rfam family "Bacterial small subunit ribosomal RNA", at positions 524 to 776 of the family's 1533-position model. The record is from RNAcentral.